RNAcentral lists this ribosomal RNA (253 nucleotides) under uncultured bacterium. RNAcentral's name for it is "partial 16S ribosomal RNA". It matches the Rfam family "Bacterial small subunit ribosomal RNA", at positions 524 to 776 of the family's 1533-position model. The record is from RNAcentral.
GACGUAGGAGGCAAGCGUUAUCCGGAUUUAUUGGGCGUAAAGCGCGUGCAGGCGGUUUGGUAAGUUGGAUGUGAAAUCUCUCGGCUUAACCGGGAGAGGUCGUUCAAAACUACCAGACUAGAGAUUGGUAGAGGAAGGUGGAAUUCCGGGUGUAGUGGUGAAAUGCGUAGAUAUCCGGAGGAACACCAGUGGCGAAAGCGGCCUUCUGGACCAUUUCUGACGCUAAGAUGCGAAAGCUAGGGUAGCAAACGGG